Molecule: unclassified non-coding RNA, 2909 nt
Filed under: Leishmania donovani
Lineage: Eukaryota; Euglenozoa; Kinetoplastea; Trypanosomatida; Trypanosomatidae
Description: gene:LdHU3.29.3990(CDS-product:poly(A)_polymerase _putative)
Source: RNAcentral
CACACUCACCGACAUGCGCGAAGUCGCUCGUGUCACCCCAUCCAUAGAAAUUACGUAAGAACGCAGUGCGAGUUUCUGAAGUGCUGCGUCGCUGCCGGUGCUGUCCUGCUGCGGCGCCGCCAUCACAGUUUCUCUCUUCUCCCAUCUUCCUCCCGUUGUCCAAGCGCCCUCGUGUGUUAUCGAGCAACACGCCGCGUCUCCUCUCUCUUGGUUCGCUCUCGUUGGUUGCCUCGAACGUUUCACUUGCCUCGUUCUGUGCCGCGACGAAGUCGUCCGCACCGCCAGAUCAAGAUGGAGCGUGCGGCGGAGGUGACCCUAAUAGAGGACGCGUUUCCUCACUUCAACUUCGCCGCCGACGCAGCGGCGUCUACAGCGCUGCGGCGAGCCACAGAUGCGUUCUCGAUGGAAAACACGGACGAGGUUGUGAGACUUGUUCGCCAACUACUGGAGAAGCUGCUGCAGGCAGAGCCGUCGGCUGCGGCUGCGUGGACGCAAGUGUACGUGUUUGGCUCGAGUGGUCUAGACGCCGCUAUCACGGGCAGUGACAUCGAUUUGUAUGGUGAGCCACUUCCUUCUUCCCAUCGUUUCUUUCCUGUUGCGCUUAACUUCUUCCCUUCCCCCCUCCCCCCGUCCCCCCGUCCCCCCGUCUUGCCCGCUCUCUCCUCUCCUCUCUUUCCCUCCUCUCUUGCGUCUCUCCUCGGCCACGACCGUGGGCAGCGUGCAAGGCAGCGCAGUUGCAGGUGUGUGGGAGAGAGCAGGAGAGAGAGAACGGGCGAGGAGGGAAUCUUCGUGUCGCUCAUGUGUAUACUCGAGCAUUUGCAGACUCUUCAUCUCUCCCGCUCUCCUCACUCCACUUCGUCUUCCGUCCCCUCCUCCUACCUUUCUCUCUCGGGCUCUCCGCAUGCUCGUCCACGCACCGUGCGUGCGAAUGGUGAUGAUCACGUGGAGCGCCACCUUUUUCCACAUCAUGCUCACAAAUAUCGCCACUCCUCCUUUCUUUCUCACCUGCUUGCCUACAUUGCCAACCGUGUGCAUAUCUUCGUACACCCCUCCAAUGUUGCACAUUCACGGUGCUGUGAUACUCCCGCCAUGGUGCAUGGCGGCGCCGCGCCGUUGCUCUCGGCUUUCUCCUCCCUUUUCAAGGUUUUAUCCUCGCUUUUCCUUCUGCACGCCUCACGCCCUUUCACCCGAGGCGUAAACUGCGACGGCAUGCUGCGCUCUGCGUAUUUCACCGUGCGCGCCUUCACUACAACAUGACUACUGGUAAUACGCUACGAUGGCGGUGCACGCAUGCGCACAUGCCACCCCUUCGCUGCUCUCUGCUCUCUCCUCUCGCUGCUCUCACCUUUCUCUUUGUGUGUCGUGUACUCGUCGUUUGCGAAUGCUGCCGCGAAGAAUUGCAUUGUGCUCCGCCUCUGUGAACACGAGCUUGUUUUUUCAGACAUUCCCGCGCUCGGCUGAGGGGCGCCUGCAGGACGUCGUCGUGGUCACUUCGGCCCGCGUCCCUCUAAUCAAGUUUUCGUACAACGGUGUUCACGUCGAUCUCCUGUUUGCCUCCGUUGAUAUGCGGACGGCGCCUGACACGAAUGAGCUUCUGCGCGACGACUUUCUUUCCCUGGUGUCGCUGCCCUGUCGGGCGACCGUGAACGGGAUCCGCACGAUUCUGGAGAUUCGUCGCCGCCUUCCCCUUCCACUGGACGCGUACGCUUGCGUGCUGCGCGCGGUCAAGUACUGGGCGGCGCAGCGGCAGGUGUAUGGGAACCUCUACACCUUCCCCAACGGCGUGUGCCUCGCGAUUAUGGUGGCCCGUGCCUGCCAGCUUUGCCCUGUCGCGGACAGUGGCGUCAUUUUGCGCUUCUUCUUCUCCCUGUACGUAUGGUGGCUCCUGCGUGACACCCGCAUCGCUCCUGUUUCUAUUGUGCCCACGGAUGAGAAUGCGGCCAUCGCGCGAGUGCCGGGGAUGCCGCCGCCGUGGGAUGCCGUCUGGGACGCGGCAGACCUGUUCCCAGUGCUGAACCCGGCACGACCCACCGUCAACGCGGCCCACGCGGUGGGCCGCAGUGGACUACAGCUCUUUUUGAAGGAGCUCCUCCGCGCUGAGCAGCUGUGCGCCCUAGUCCCGAUGUCGUACUCGGCACUAUGGGAGCCGUACAACAUACUCGAUGAGCAUCGCUUCUUCGUUGGCGUGCACAUCUCGAGCGAGCACCAGUCGCUUGCAGCGUGCGAGGACACUAUCAAUGCAUGGAAGGGGUACGUAGAAAGCAAAUUGCGUAUGUUUGUGUACGCGCUGGAGUGCGUGGCCGAGGUGCGGCCGUUCUCACGCCCGGUUGUCGACGAGCCGCCUCGAGUGGUGACUCGGAGAGGGGUGAAGGUGCACUGCCGCUCUCGCGCAUUCUUCUUUGGCGUGCGCAACGGCAACAAGGAUGUGGAGCACAGCGAUGUGGAAGCCGCAUUCAGAGAGUUUGAGUUUGCGGUGACGGAGGGCACAACGGGAAAGAAUCCGUUUGAGUGGAACAGGUCAGUCAUGCUCGGGCCACGGCUCUCUUUCUUCUCCAUCUACGAUCCGCUGACAGCCGACUCGCCGUGCCAGGCACUUUACAGCGCCUGCGCCGAAAUGAUGGGGUCUUCGGUGUGAGAGGCCGCGACGGUGGCGUUGCGCGCUUGUCAGCGUGCACCAGUGGCUCUUCUCCUCGGUGCCGCUUCCGGCUCGCGCGCUGCAUGGAGGAACGCCGUUUGUGAUCAUGACUGGGCCCCAGGCGCGCGCUUCCUGUUUUCCGUCCUGUGCGUUCCCCCCUGCCUUUCCAGGUCCUCGUCCCUCCUCCACACGCCACCGUGACAGUCCUGCAGAUAACCUCCAACGCAGGCGAGGGAAAAGCUAAGGACGAACAUGAACCAAACAACAACAAACG